This is a non-coding RNA of Taeniopygia guttata (zebra finch), 1893 nucleotides long. The record is from RefSeq and is a predicted model, not a curated record. NCBI's taxonomy places the organism in Eukaryota, Metazoa, Chordata, Aves, Passeriformes, Estrildidae.
CUUGAUCGUGCUGCCUCAUGGCUUGAGACCAACGUGUGGGCAAUAAUCACCAUCUGGAGGGAGAGGGAGAUUCAGGGCCAGCUGAACUUGUCUGUAAGUAGUGUUUGAAAUGGGCAUGGGAGGCUCUACACCAGGCCACCAUUCUUCUAUCCUGAAAAGCUUCAUUCUACCCUGGUCCCCUGGCAGGCAGUGCCUAUGCAGGUACCUACAGGAGCUGUGGGAGCCGCUGCUACUGGGGCAGGAGCAGCUUGUACUGACCAGCCACUCCAAGCAGGGCAGCCCUUCCUUCUUCAGCCUGGUCCUGAGGGUGCUGGAAGCAAACUGGUAUGGAAUAGGAGCAACCCCUGCACAGAGCAGCCAGAUAACUGGUACAAGAGUAUUUGCAGGGGAGAGGCAGGAAAGGAAUGCAACUGCUAAGCUCCUUAUGGCCCACAUCACUGCCUGGCAGCAUUCUCCAGCUGCUAAGAUGGAUGUUUUAUGUACAUGGAAGUAGAGGUAGAUUGUUUUCUGUGUGAGAUGUAUGGUUUUAUUAGAAAACUCAUGCGUCUCAUUACAUGAAGUUCUAUGCUUCUCUGAACAGAAGCAUUUGAAUUAUGUUCUAACAAUCUAUCAAAUAUCCUGUUUGUUCUGAUUUCAGUUAAGUUGUGAUAAUCUAAUAUGUUUUUGGAGUACCAGAGUUAAAAUAUGGCACCAUCCAUAUUCUUCAUUCAGCAUAGAUACGUACCUGAAAAGUCUUUUAUUUGCAAGAGUUAAGAAUGUCCGCCCUCUUGAUAAAUCUAUCCUGAAUACCAAUGGAUAAACUGCAGAAAUUUUGAAUUAAUUCUGAUAUGUUUUAUCAGAAAUAUGGGCAAGCCUUGCUCUCUUUUGCUUUCUUUUUCCUGCUCUCUUUAUCUCUCAAGGGAAUUCUUCUGCAAGGUGUUUUCUUAUUCCUGUCUAAGUUUUCUUCCAAGAUCUAAGAUGUAGUGCUACUUCGGAAUUGGAAUUAAAUCACUUGGAUGUCAUCUCUGAUGAAAUCCCAAAGUAACUAAGUCUGGGUAUACUAAAACAUUCCUCUCUGUUUUCCUACACUGGAUUGCUUAAUUUUUGUAGAUUAAGUAGAAUGCUUGAUUCUUUACUUGCAGUGCUGCUGGCAAAAUCUGUGGUUCUGUUUUCUGUAUGAAGAUCUAAUAUUUUUAAUUUUGUGAAAGAUACACUACUCAAGCUGCAGUUAGCAUUAAUUCAGUCUGCCCCAAUGUCCUUGAAUACGUGUAGUCCCAGGAUUACACUGAUUGAUCAGAACUUCUGCAAUUUCCCUUUACACAUAUCAUGCAUCAUGCCAAGUGUGAAAAAAAGAUUAAAAAGUACAGAAGGAAGCAAUAAAUUAGAGUAUAUUCCUCCUGAAACCUGAAACAUUUGAAAAACACUGGAGAGUUCUUAAUUUUAGCAUCCUCUAGUACUAGUAAUGGUUAUGAAAUCUACUUUAAAGGUCUUCUAAACACACAGUUUGGUCUCCUAAGAAAUAAUGGCCUGCUACCUCUUUGGCAUCAUUAUUUCAAGCAGCAGAAGCUUGUAAUAAACUAUAUCUAGAGCUCUCACUAUUAAGUAUUGUUCUGCAUAAAGACAUUUAUAUUAAUAGCCUAGGCACUUUUACUGUGAUUUCAUACAUUAAACCAAUAGUAAUGUUGUAAAACUUAGGAAGCCAAAAGUUAAGAAUACUGUAUUUGGUAUUCUCUGCAAUCUUAAAUUGUUAUUCAUGUGCAUAAACACCAUAAUGCACUAUUUUAUUACAUGCUUUUUUUCCUCCAAAAUGCUCUAGCCUCAUUAAAUACAUAGAAUAAAAAUGGUAUCAUUCACUGUUGCAAAAUGAGGUGUGUGGUGAAAGAAUGAAGGGUUUAUUAGGAGAAUGAUGUCAUG